Molecule: signal recognition particle RNA, 214 nt
Filed under: pig gut metagenome
Description: Bacterial large signal recognition particle RNA
Rfam family: Bacterial large signal recognition particle RNA
About the family: The signal recognition particle (SRP) is a universally conserved ribonucleoprotein involved in the co-translational targeting of proteins to membranes.
Source: RNAcentral
AGCCGGGGACUUGGCGUUCCCUGUACCUGAAGCUUCUGCAGGGGUGAUGUCGAACUGAGGGGGCUCAUGAGCUGCCCACAGCAAGUGGCGUUUGAUAUUCGGGUCUUACGCAAUAGAGCACUGUGAACCGUGUCAGGACGGGAACGUAGCAGCACUAAGCGGAUCGUUUUAUGUGACGUAAGGUUGCCUGAGUAGAGCUAACUGCAGUGGUAAC